AUUGAACGCUGGCGGCAGGCCUAACACAUGCAAGUCGAACGGUAACAGGAAGCAGCUUGCUGCUUUGCUGACGAGUGGCGGACGGGUGAGUAAUGUCUGGGAAACUGCCUGAUGGAGGGGGAUAACUACUGGAAACGGUAGCUAAUACCGCAUAACGUCGCAAGACCAAAGAGGGGGACCUUCGGGCCUCUUGCCAUCGGAUGUGCCCAGAUGGGAUUAGCUAGUAGGUGGGGUAACGGCUCACCUAGGCGACGAUCCCUAGCUGGUCUGAGAGGAUGACCAGCCACACUGGAACUGAGGCACGGUCCAGACUCCUACGGGAGGCAGCAGUGGGGAAUAUUGCACGAUGGGCGCAAGCCUGAUGCAGCCAUGCCGCGUGUAUGAAGAAGGCCUUCGGGUUGUAAAGUACGUUCAGCGGGGAGGAAGGGAGUAAAGUUAAUACCUUUGCUCAUUGACGUUACCCGCAGAAGAAGCACCGGCUAACUCCGUG
RNAcentral lists this ribosomal RNA (490 nucleotides) under uncultured bacterium. RNAcentral describes it as "partial 16S ribosomal RNA". It matches the Rfam family "Bacterial small subunit ribosomal RNA", at positions 30 to 507 of the family's 1533-position model. The record is from RNAcentral.